Molecule: ribosomal RNA, 253 nt
Filed under: uncultured bacterium
Lineage: Bacteria
Description: partial 16S ribosomal RNA
Rfam family: Bacterial small subunit ribosomal RNA
Source: RNAcentral
UACGGAGGGUGCAAGCGUUAUCCGGAUUCACUGGGUUUAAAGGGUGCGUAGGUGGGCUGGUAAGUCAGUGGUGAAAUCUCCGAGCUUAACUCGGAAACUGCCAUUGAUACUAUCAGUCUUGAAUUUUCUGGAGGUAAGCGGAAUAUGUCAUGUAGCGGUGAAAUGCUUAGAUAUGACAUAGAACACCCAUUGCGAAGGCAGCUUACUACGGGAUAAUUGACGCUGAGGCACGAAAGCGUGGGGAUCAAACAGG